GACGAACGCUGGCGGCGUGCCUAAUACAUGCAAGUCGAGCGGACGAAUCGAAAGCUUGCUUUUGAUUCGUUAGCGGCGGACGGGUGAGUAACACGUGGGCAACCUGCCCUGUAGACGGGGAUAACACCGAGAAAUCGGUGCUAAUACCGGAUAACACGAAAUGUCGCAUGACGUUUCGUUGAAAGACGGCGCAAGCUGUCGCUACAGGAGGGGCCCGCGGCGCAUUAGCUAGUUGGUGAGGUAACGGCCCACCAAGGCGACGAUGCGUAGCCGACCGGAGAGGGUGAUCGGCCACACUGGGACUGAGACACGGCCCAGACUCCUACGGGAGGCAGCAGUAGGGAAUCUUCCGCAAUGGACGAAAGUCUGACGGAGCAACGCCGCGUGAGCGAAGAAGGCCUUCGGGUCGUAAAGCUCUGUUGUUAGGGAAGAACAAGUACCGCAGUAACUGGCGUUACCGUGACGGUACCUAACGAGAAAGCCACGGCUAACUACGUG
This 498-nucleotide ribosomal RNA is filed under the name uncultured bacterium. RNAcentral's name for it is "partial 16S ribosomal RNA". It matches the Rfam family "Bacterial small subunit ribosomal RNA", at positions 28 to 507 of the family's 1533-position model. The record is from RNAcentral.